CCUCUGGUAGCUCAAUUGGUAGAGCGGUGGACUGUAGAUCCAUAGGUCGCUGGUUCAAAUCCGGCCCAGAGGA
Molecule: transfer RNA, 73 nt
Filed under: Schistocerca americana (American grasshopper)
Lineage: Eukaryota; Metazoa; Arthropoda; Insecta; Orthoptera; Acrididae
Description: tRNA-Tyr
Rfam family: tRNA
About the family: Transfer RNA (tRNA) molecules are approximately 80 nucleotides in length. Their secondary structure includes four short double-helical elements and three loops (D, anti-codon, and T loops).
Source: RNAcentral